Molecule: ribosomal RNA, 468 nt
Filed under: uncultured bacterium
Lineage: Bacteria
Description: partial 16S ribosomal RNA
Rfam family: Bacterial small subunit ribosomal RNA
Source: RNAcentral
GACGAACGCUGGCGGCGUGCUUAACACAUGCCAGUCGAACGGAAAGGCCCUGCUUUUGUGGGGUGCUCGAGUGGCGAACGGGUGAGUAACACGUGAGUAACCUGCCCUUGACUUUGGGAUAACUUCAGGAAACUGGGGCUAAUACCGGAUAGGAGCUCCUGCUGCAUGGUGGGGGUUGGAAAGUUUCGGCGGUUGGGGAUGGACUCGCGGCUUAUCAGCUUGUUGGUGGGGUAGUGGCUUACCAAGGCUUUGACGGGUAGCCGGCCUGGGAGGGUGACCGGCCACAUUGGGACUGGGAUACGGCCCAGACUCCUACGGGAGGCAGCAGUGGAGAAUAUUGCACAAUGGGCGGAAGCCUGAUGCAGCAACGCCGCGUGCGGGAUGACGGCCUUCGGGUUGUAAACCGCUUUCGCCUGUGACGAAGCGUGAGUGACGGUAAUGGGUAAAGAAGCACCGGCUAACUACGUG